CCCCUAGAUGUUCUGGGCCGCACGCGCGCUACACUGAACAGUUCAACAAGUCUUAACCUUGGCCGAUAGGUCUGGGUAAUCUUUGAACGCUGUUCGUGAUUGGGAUAGACCUUUGCAAUUAUGGGUCUUCAACGAGGAAUUCCUAGUAAACGCAAGUCAUCAGCUUGCAUUGAUUACGUCCCUGCCCUUUGUACACACCGCCCGUCGCACCUACCGAUUGAAUGGUCCGGUGAAAUCUCGGGACGGCGGCUUGGUCGCUUGCGUCCGACUGCUGAAACUUGAUUAAACCAUAUCAUUUAGAGGAAGGUGAANUCGCANCA
This 320-nucleotide ribosomal RNA is filed under the name uncultured eukaryote. Its description in RNAcentral is "partial 18S ribosomal RNA". It matches the Rfam family "Eukaryotic small subunit ribosomal RNA", at positions 1470 to 1796 of the family's 1831-position model. The record is from RNAcentral.